AAAUUAUGAUUUUUUUCCAAGUGUUUUUCCAAAUCUGUAAGCACUCUGAGGCUAGUGAAAUGUCACCCAUGUGAUAAAAUCUUUGUAUUUUUCCACAGAGGAAGGGCAGGAUCUCUGGAGGCCCACAAAUGUCCAUCGUUAACAGUACCAGGAAUCAGCAAUGAAAGGGAUACUAAAGUAAAAUGUUUGAAGGACCAAUACAGGAUGAAAAGAUUCCAACACAUGCUUCCUCCAAGGAACAACAUUGAGUUCAGUCCAAUAAAAUCACAUGUGACUACACAUCUACAGUAGAACCGCAUGUGACUGCACAUCUACAGUAGAACCGCAUGUGACUGCACAUCUACAGUAGAACCGCAUGUGGCUGCACAUCUACAGUAGAACACACAAUUCGAGAGAACUGGUAUCUUUUUUCCCAGGCACUUUCUCAUAGAAACAAGGGGAUCAACUGCUACGAUUUGUGAGGGAGUUUCUGAAAGAGAUUAGCAUUGGAUUUGUAGAUUAAUAGGAGAGGUUGCCCUGACACUUGCAGGGCAUAGAAUAAAAGGGAGAAGGAGAAUCCGGUAUCUCUACUGCACUGAGGCUUUGGUCAGCUGCCUUCAGACUGAAGACAUCUUCGUUCAGCAGAUCGGGUCACAGCUAGCAGGCAUGUCUGAUGUCACUGUUGACUGGAUUGAUAAACACCAGCUACAGCGU
Molecule: long non-coding RNA, 693 nt
Organism: Mastomys coucha (southern multimammate mouse)
Lineage: Eukaryota; Metazoa; Chordata; Mammalia; Rodentia; Muridae
Exons: 4
Source: RefSeq, a predicted model, not a curated record